This 465-nucleotide ribosomal RNA is filed under the name uncultured Victivallaceae bacterium. RNAcentral describes it as "bacterial SSU rRNA". It matches the Rfam family "Bacterial small subunit ribosomal RNA", at positions 28 to 505 of the family's 1533-position model. Lineage: Bacteria; Pseudomonadati; Lentisphaerota; Lentisphaeria; Victivallales; Victivallaceae. The record is from RNAcentral.
GAUGAACGCUGGCGGCAUGGAUUAGGCAUGCAAGUCGAACGAAGAAUCUGAAGCUUGCUUCAGAGGACGAGUGGCGAAAGGGUGAGUAACGCGUGAGUAAUUUGCCCUCAAGUUGGGAAUAACACCUGGAAACGGGUGCUAAUACCGAAUGUGAAUAUUUAAACGCCUGUUUUAAUAUUUAAAGAUUUAUCGCUUGAGGAUGAGCUCGCGUCCCAUUAGCUAGUUGGUAGGGUAAUGGCCUACCAAGGCAACGAUGGGUAGGUGGUCUGAGAGGAUGGUCACCCACACUGGGACUGAGACACUGCCCAGACUCCUACGGGAGGCUGCAGUCGAGAAUCUUCCGCAAUGCGCGAAAGCGUGACGGAGCAAUGCCGCGUGAUUGAUGAAGGCCUUAGGGUUGUAAAGAUCUGUCAACAGGGACGAAAUAAAUGACGGUACCUGUAGAGGAAGCCACGGCUAACUACG